Molecule: small nuclear RNA, 184 nt
Organism: Dermacentor andersoni
Lineage: Eukaryota; Metazoa; Arthropoda; Arachnida; Ixodida; Ixodidae
Product: U2 spliceosomal RNA
Source: RefSeq, a predicted model, not a curated record
AGACAUGAGCGACAUGGGUCAAAGUGUAAUAUUUGCUCUUGCCAUUAUGAUAUCUGAUACGGGUUCUAUUUGGACCGACGAUAUUCAACUUAUUUUUGCAAGUUGGCGGAGUGCUUGAAGCUUGCUCCACCUCCGCCGCGGGUCGGCCCGGGAUUGUACCAUCUCUGGAAUCGGCGCACGGUUU